This is a non-coding RNA of Sus scrofa (pig), 6535 nucleotides long. The record is from RefSeq and is a predicted model, not a curated record. NCBI's taxonomy places the organism in Eukaryota, Metazoa, Chordata, Mammalia, Artiodactyla, Suidae.
ACAUUUUUAAAAAUGCAGCCUCAUUUACAAAUCUUGGAAUUUUUUCUGCCUUUAUCUGUUAUUUUUUUAGAAUAGUUUUAGGAAUGUUAGGUAGAUUUCUAAUUAUAUGGCAAAUCAGAUUUUUUUUUUUUUUAAGCAACUGUGUGCCAGGAGUAGGAUCCUGAGGUUGCAGCUAGACUCAAAGGGCAAGACACCAUGAUUGAUUAGUCAUGUUUAAAUGCAACCACCACAACUGCCAAUCUCCUUCCCCUCGUGAUUUUCUGACCUUCUGCAAGCUCAGUGGUCUUCUCCACUGAGCUGAUAAAUGGUUGGCCUGGUUCUUGUCCAGACCCACUAAAUUCUGACGAUGCUAAGCUAAGCCACACCCACUGGCACUAAAUCCAAAGGUCCAAGCCAUUUAAGGAAUAUGAAUGUUGGCUCCAGUUCAUAUGAUGGAAGUUAUGUAACCAGCUCUUGGAUACCAUUCAACCUUCCUGUCUACCUCUCAAACUCCAUGAUUCAAGAUUCUUUCAGUGUCUAAAUCUUUCCGUUCUCUAAAUUUCUCUGCAGCUCGGCAAUGUGUCACUGCAUUGUGCGUCGUAAAAAUAAUAUUAAUGUUACGUGGUGCGAAACGAUGCUCAUACCACAUCCCGCGGAUGAAAAAUAUUGAAUGUGUCAACAUGUUCGAGGACUAAGAAGAGAGCGUCGUCAUUCAGCUCCUGGCCUCUGUAGACCAUUUAGGUACCUUUCUUGGGAGCAAUAUGAUAUUUAAAAAUCCAUAUGGAGCAACCUGGGUGAUGAUUUCCAUGGGGAAUUACCUCCAAGUAUUCCGAUCUUCAGGUACUAGCUCUGCUGUUGACCACCUACGUCUUCUGCCAGUGACACAUCCUGUGCCUUGGUUUCUCCAGGGAAAUAUUGAAACCCACACUGCAGUCAAAAGGAUUCAGAGAAUGACACGUACAAUCUUCAGCCAUUUGUGUGAGUCAAGCUCAUUGAUUACCAGGCAAGAUGAGGUUAAUCUCCUCAACCCUCAGCCCCGGAAGGAACAACAAUGUGGAACAUGUAUCCUUGCCACAGGGGCACAGCUUUCUGGGCCAGAGGUAGACACACCUCAAAGGGGAAACGAUUCAUAAUUAUGGCUGAGCCAAAAGAAGCUACCUUUUGGGAAUCUGUAAUUGAGAUUCUGAGGGACUGGCUAAGUUUGUGGCAAGCCAAAAAUACAUCAACACAGAGAAAGCAGGUGAGUUACAGUAAUGGCAGAGCACAUGGCGGGGCGGUGCAUGGGUCCCUGUCGCUGAGGUCCCUGGAGCCAUCCCACAUCCUCCCGUACUGGAGGUCUGGUGGUCUAUUGUUCCUUGGAGAUCUGGGAAACCACUUGGUAUUUUCACACUCUGAGGUGAUGGACUGGGUUCCUAUUCCUUCCAAUCAAACGAAUCCUUGCCAAAACCUAUGGUCAACCCAACCAGGGUGCAUUAUGAUACAAUGGGGCUGUGUGACUCCGCCUUCACUUCUGAGUGCCACAUCAAAGAGAAACUGCUACAUAUUUGCUCAGUAGAAGGUGUCAGGCUUGGAGACCAUGAGAGAACUGAGAGAAGAUAUGUAUGUGCAUCUAACAUAUCUGAAGUGCUGUUGUGUGGCAGCAAUGCAACUUUCAGCACUGUGGCUUCAGAGUAAAGAGCUAAGAACUGUGGAUGAAAGUAACAGGGGGGACUUCAGUCAGAGCUAUGACUAGAGCAGAGUCUAAGAUCCACGUGAGGAGGAACUCCAUGUAUCUCCUUCUUGACUUCAUUCAGGUGCUCACCCAGCGACUAGCACAGAGAAACCACUCGGUAGCUAUUUUUCAUAUAAAUAAUUAAGGAGGUAGCGGCUCUAUCCAAAGGAGCUGGGGUGUGAGAAGAACUUGAAUGGAUGUGCGUUUCAUGAGCUCAAAGCAUUUUGAAACCCUAAGGUCAUUAUUGAAGGUUACAGACAAUUUGGCCCCCAUAAUUUUAGUAACUAACAUGUAUACUGGUCAGCUGUCUGAUCUGCUUUAAUCUUUAAAUUUUAUUGAAAAGUCAAUUCUCAAUCGGAGAAUUUGGGGAGGGGGGCACGAAGUCAUUAUGUUCACAGCAUCUUGCUGUGAGUUGAACUCCUAGGGUUCGAAUCUGUUCUAUGACAGGAGGAAAGUUGCUUAAUCACUCUGGAAAAUAUGGUCAGGGUGCCUACCACAGGGUUUUUGCUUUUUGAAAUAAAGAUGAGAUAAAAUAGCAUAUGUAAGCAGACUAGCCCAGAGUAAUCACUCAGCAACAUUAUUACGAGCUAUCAUUAGCUACAAGGUUGCUUCAUUAACUUUUUAAAAUGAAAAUUGCCUUUAUCUCUCUUUACCUUCCAAGUUCCAUGCGAUGCUUCUGAUCAAAAAAGCAGUGUUUAAAACAAAUGAGUAGGGGUUUCCUUUAGCUCCUGGAGAGGGCCCCUGCUUCUAUGCAGCCUCAGCAUGACUUAUUCAUGAGAUGUUGACCCCACGUGGGAGGCAGGCAUGUGAUUCUUCACGAUGUUGGACACUGACCCUUCUGUGCUAUUGCCGUAGAUACACAGGACAUUAUCGUAGACCCCGGCCUUCGGACACCAACAUACUAAGCAUUUCCCUUACCACAUGGGUAAUUAUUUAAAGAUGUACCCCUCCACAGAGUGAUUUCUCUGUUGCUCUCAUUAAAUCAUAUAAAGGGCCCACCCACAUCACUCACUUUAAGCACUAAAUAUUUCAACAGAGUUGAAAUGAUGCCAGCUCAAUUUACUCGAAUACUAACGCUCAAUAUAGGCAAUUUGGCUGUGGAAAAAAAAAUAGAAGUUUCACUUGUGUUCAUAAAUGUUAAAUGAUAUUCUUCAACAAGAUGCAGAUUUAAAAUGUAAAUUAUUUAAAGUGUCCAAGACCUGUGGCCCGCAUUUCUUAUUCUAAGGCAGUGACACAUAUAUUACAGAUACAUUAUUCAUGUGUUAGGCACCCAUUACACCACACUGAUGCCGCCAAAGGCAUAACCAGUCAGGAAACAGGCUGUUGCAUAUUAUAGACAAAUCUGGAAACUCUCCCCCCGCCGUAUUUUUUUACCUUCAAGCUCUGUUUUAAUGAAAAUAUCUUUCACAGGUACUACGUAUAUCUGUACACACAUGUGUGGCCACUGGAGGGGGUCUCUUUGAAAGCACUGACUUUCUGCCAACUGCUGCUGGAUGUUAGUGCAUACAGAUCCAAUUUUGACCUAUGAUCUAUGACCUUCCAACAUCCUACUAGACAAUGUGGGUUCACUCUGAUAUCUCAAUAGCUUACACAAAGCAAAUGCGAUGGUCACAAACUCUUGUCCCUUCAAGAAGAGGUGACUUACUAUGCUAACCCAGGAGGGCUCGUCACUGCAAACAACUCACCUGCAUCAGGAAGAGAUGACCCCUGCAGGUGGUUGGAGCAUCAGCUGGCAGCUGCCUGGACAUUUCUUUUGCUGAAAAGCUCCCUGACAUCAGCUGGCACCUUGCAUAUCUGCCUGUUGCUCAAAUGUAGAGUGAGCUGUGAGGUGUCCCAUGGCAAACUUGUCCCCCUGCUGGAUAAACUACUGAAGUCAGGGCCAGGGUUGGCACUGACUGGUUUACUUGAUGAUGUGGAAAUAUUUCCUGUUGCUCUCCAUGUCCCUGAUUUGUUGGAAAUAUUCAAAAUGAGAGAAGGAGGAGAGAGUGGGGAUGAAGGACUUAAGCUCUGGAUCCAAGUCCUGGCUGAGCUACUUAGGGCUACAUGAUUUUUGAAAAUGGAAGUAUAAUCGACCUAUGUAACACUGUGGUAGUUUCAGUUGCACAACACAGAGUUGAGAUACUUCUAUAAGUAUGAAAUGAUCAUCAAGAUAAGUCUAGAUGCCAUCUGUCACCACACAAAGUUACUCCCUAGGCUGUACAUUUCAUCCCUAUGACUCAUUUACUUUGUAACUGGAAGUUGGUACCUCUUUUUCUUUGACUAUGCCUGUAGCAUGUGGAAGUCCCGGGCCAGGGAUUGAAUCCUGUAUCUGUAUCUAUAUAUUUUCAUUUAUGACAACGUAGAUGAACCAAAAGGGUAUUAUGCUUAGGGAAAUAAAUCAUGUAAAGACAAAUACCUAUAUCUUAGCUAUUAUAAAUAAUGCUGCAAUGAACAUAGGAGUGCAUGUAUCUUUUUGAAUUAGUAUUUUUGUUUUCUUCAGAAAAAUACUCAGAAGUGGAAUUACUGGAUUGUUCAGUAGCUACUUUUUUUUAACUGGGGAACCUCCAUACUGUUUACCAUAGUGGCUGUACCAAUUUACACUCCCAGCAAUAAUGUACCAGGGUUCCCUUUUCUCCACAUCCUUGCCAACACUGGUUACUUGCUAUGUUUUGAUAACAGCCAUUCUGACAGGUGUGAGACGAUAUUUCACGGUGGUUUUGAUUUGCGUUUCCCUGAUGAUCAGUAAUGUUGAAUAUCUUUUCAUAUGUCUGGAGACCAUGCGUAUAUCUUCUUUGGAAAAUGUCUAUACCAAAUAAAGACGAUGAAAUUGGAGCAGGUCCUCUGCUCAUUUUCAAUCGGGUUGUUUAGGGUUUUUGAUGUUGUGUUGGAUGAGUUCUUUUUGUAUUUUGGAUACUGAUUCCUCAUCAUAUCUAUCAUUUGCAAAUAUCUUAUCCCAUUCAGUAGGUGGAUUUGUUUUUGUUUUGUUGACAGUUUCCCUUGCUGAGUGAAAGCUUUUCAGUUUGAUGCAGUUCCAUUUGUUCAUUUUUGUUUUCCUUACCUGAUGAAGCAUAUCCAAAAAGAUACUGCUAAGACUGAUUUCAAAGAGCUUAUUGGUUAUAUUUUCUUCUAUUUUUAUUGUUUCAGCUCACACAGUUAAGUCUUUAAUACACUUUGAGUAUAUUUUUGCAUAUGGUAUAAGAAAAUGGUCCAGUGUGCUUCUUUUUUGCACGCAGCUGUCCAGUUUUCCCAGCAUCUCUUAGAGUUAUGCAAUUUUGGACAAUUUAUUUGGCCCCUCCAAACUUCAAUUUCAUCCUCUUUAUUUGGAUGAUAGGAUGCAUGUAAAGCACUUUGCAUCUUGCUUGGUACACAGUAAGCAUUCAGUAUAUGUCUGUUCAUGGUUGUGAUGACUGUGGGGUGGGUAUUUAUCUCAAGGUACCUCUUCUCUAGUAUUUUCUCCCUUUUUCUCUUCCUUACCUAACUCUGAGGAAUCUCCCUUACCACUUAAAACCACGAGCAAGGAUGUCUUAGGGCUGGCUUACCUCAAAGCCUAUGAAGUCUUUACCAUAAUAACAAUAAUUAAAAAUUAUAAUUUAUCUGAUUUGAUGCCAAAUGGUCUCCAAAUCCUGUGUAAUGGUUAACUUUGAACACUGCUGCAGGCAGAAAGAAAAUAAGAAACUGAAACUUUUGUACUAUGCCUACAUAAUUUUUUUCCACUGAAUCUCUUUGUAAUUACAUUUAAAAUUAAUACUGUCCACAGGUCGAAUUACUGAGGCUGGCAGGGAAAACAGUUAAAACAUUCCAGGUGCUAAUCUUGCUUCACCAGUCCUCAGCUUUGCCUGCCUCUGGUGGACUCAUGAUUCCAAGGUUAUUUUUCAUUGAAGAAACAUUAAAAAAAAGGUAUAAACACAGUAGAAUAUCCUUGCAUAGGCAUUUUAGGUAAAGUGCUUGCAAUGGCAAAUAUUUUACUUUCUGGGGUUGGGAGUUGAGAGGACAUUCAACAUUAGCCAGCCUACUAUAUUUUGCUUAAAACCCUGUUAGGAACACCUGUUCUGAUGGAUUGUGGAAAGUAUCCCCAAAGAAGAUUGCUGUUCUCCAAAAGUCAGAAAGGUUUCAAGCAGCCUUGGGCUUACUGGUGGGUUUUCUCCACCUAUGCUCAGCAUCUUACAGCAUCUGGAAAUCAUUCUUAAAGCACACACGACUCAGCCAACUACAAGUGCUCACAUAAAUCUUUGGCUUUUCCAAUGAAUGUAGAAUCAUAGAGACCGGUACGAAGCACCAGCAAAGUCUGAAAUUAGAUGAAAAGAUGUCUCCAAGAUGGCUCCUCUCAAAUUUUCAUGUGUGUAUGGAUCACCUGGAGGAUCCUGUCAAAAGGCAGAUUGUGAUUGAGUAGUCUGGCGCAGGCUCGGAUGAAUUUCUACCAAGCCUCCAGGUGUUCUCUAUCCUGCUGGUCCAAGGACUGCACUUUGAAUGACAAGGUUCUAAGAUACAUGCGGGUCUGCUUCUGGGUUUGAAUUAGCACUGUACAAACCAUGGUCUCCUUGCACACUGUAGAUGAGCCAGUUGCUGUACGACAGUCAAUGAUCUCCCCUCCUUCAAGCUGCCUGACUGUUCUGGUUUGCAAAGUGCCAGAGGAGCACAAGACAGCCAUGAGAGGCUGUACGGGUACAUCCUGACUGGUCCCUGUACCCAAAGGCCCCGGUCUGCAGAGCCUGCCUUACUGGGACAUGGAUGCUCUUAGGAGGCAAUGCCCCCUUCCACUGGAACUAGUCUGAUAUUUUUCUUCUCUGCUUUCCCACUGCCUUCUAUCCUUGCCUCAAUCACAAUUUAAUGCCCCCUCCAAAACCUCCAUUAAAACAUUCUGUUUCU